UAGAGGAUUUAUCUAGAUUAAUUAAUUAAAAUUUUAGUUAAUACAAAUAAACAUGGAUAAAUUAUAAGGUACAAAGAAUGAAGACAGGAAUUGAAGUUGGGCUCCCUCUUCGGCCCAUCAAUAAGCUGCUCAGCUUUUGGGCCUCAUCCUCAUGGACUUGGGUCCAUUUUCUGUAGUGUAUACCACAUGUAUACCAGCCCUUUUUUCUGUGUUUUCCUGUAUAUAUCCACGUAUACACUGUAUAUCAGAAUAUAAAUCAACAUAUAUUCUCUCUAUUUGUUACUAUACACCGUAUGUGCAACUACUGCUUUCAGUGUAUAUCCAUUGUAUAUCACCGCAGAUCAGUCCCGUUAUGGGACUUCAGCAUGGGGUUUUGACUCGAGAUAGCAUAGGCCUCUUUGGCUCAUCAGAAUAUGCGAGAAAAAUGGACUCCAAUGGACUCAGAUUCAUGUCACAUGCAUCAAAUAAAAGAUAAAAAUUAGCACGUAACUUAAGCUAUAUUUAUAGUGAAACAUAACUUGAUAAAUAAAAAUCAAUCUAAAGAACUUCUAAGCAUGAGAAAAUGAACUUCUUAUAGUAUGAACCAAACAAAACACAUAUCUUAUAUUUAUUCCAAACCAAUGUAAAGUGAGAAGAAAGUUUUCUUGAGGAAAAGUGACUAAUUAAUUGACUAAUAGUAUUAACUUUCAUUGUUACGUACACUAUGUAAAAGAAAACAAGCAAGAAAUCUUAGAGACGGGUGAGGAUUUCGAUAGCUUUUCUACGAUAAAUUAAUCAUCUUAAUUGGUGGAUCUUUAGUAUAGAUAUUAUCCAACGUACAUGAAAUAAUAGAUUUAAAUUUUCAACAAAAUGAUGUCGUGGAACUUUAGCAUACGCAAUACUUGAGGGUGAGGGUUUACUAGUAUAAAUGCAUGAUGGACAGUGCAAUAAGUAACUCUUUACAUAGUCCAAUCACUUAUGAAGCCUUAUGAAGUUCCAAGAAAGUUUUUAUAAUAAAUAUUAAUGGAUUAUCAAAUACAAAUAGUAACUAUUACACUUUUUAUAACAUUUCAUAGUAUAUUAAUAUUGAGGGCAAAUGUUGAUUACUACUUCCAAAUUCGAAUAAAAUUUUUUAGUGUAUAUAUAGAGACAAACCAAAAUAACUUUUAUAAACAUGAUUUAAGUUUUUAAUUGCAGCUAUGCCAUAACAGGUUUUAGGGAAAACAAGACAACCCAAUUUCACUAUAAAGAAACGGAAGAUAUUCAACUACUAGUGUACUUAUAAGUUUAUCAAACAUAGUAAAAAUUAAACUGCAAACUCUAUAAAUUACUAUAAAGAUGAAUCAAGACAAAACCAAACGUUGAACUAGCAAUCCGAUAGUGAACAAUUAACGAACCAUUAUUGAAAUAUAAGUUUCCGAAAUCAUGUAUGGUGGAUUCUUAUCCCUUUUCUGUAACAAAUACAGAAUCCAAAGAUCAGAUCAUACAAACUAUUUUCUAUCUUAAAUCAGAGAAGAAAUACUCGAUAAUGCUAAAGCAAUAAGGAAAAUUGAAAUAUCAACAACACUUCAUCGUACGACUUUUAAAGUUUUAAACUUUAACAACUACACAUCGACAAUCAAUCAACAUCUAGGAAACACCACUGCUAAUCUAAUCAUCAAUGAGUUUCAAAUUUUCUUGUCAAAAACAGAGAAAAGUUUUCACCUUUUUUGGAGCAACGAACUAGGACAACAAGCUUUAAUCAAACAAACGUUCACCACCAGAGUUUCAAUUAACCUCACCAGAGUUCAAUGUUUUUGCCGAAAUAUGAUUUUUGGAGUGUAUUCGUCGCGAAUUCUUCAGUUACAUGGGAUUAGAGGAAUGUUCCUCCCGAAUCCCUAAUUUUCUCCCAAAGAAUCCUCCCCUUUUCUUCUUUUCCUCAAUGUCUAUUUAUAGGGAAAUAUAUUGGUUUCAAUUCAAAACAUAGCCGUUGAAAAGAAGAAGAAAUAAAUCGGUAAAGAGAAAAUAUAUCCUCCAAAAUUUAGAUUUGAACUGACAAGUUCUGAUUCGGAUUAGAUUUUGAGGGUGAGAGACACAUAAUCUUGAACAAAAGUCAACAAUAAUGAAUUUAGGUCUGAGAAUUUCAGAGAAAAGAUGGAGAGAGAUUUCUGUGGUUUAAGGGUUCGUUUGGUUGAAUUUGUCAGUGUUCGCGGUUUGCUUGGAUUGUUGGUGUGUUGCAUUGAUAUUGUGUUGUUGUUGUUUGUAUGGGUGAUAA
This 2233-nucleotide long non-coding RNA is filed under the name Capsicum annuum. RNAcentral describes it as "long non-coding RNA (CANN_LNC015793)". The record is from RNAcentral. Lineage: Eukaryota; Viridiplantae; Streptophyta; Magnoliopsida; Solanales; Solanaceae.